GAUGAACGCUGGCGGCGUGCUUAACACAUGCAAGUCGAACGGAAAGGCCACAGCUUGCUGUGGUACUCGAGUGGCGAACGGGUGAGGAACACGUGGGUGAUCUGCACUGUACUUCGGGAUAAGCUUGGGAAACUGGGUCUAAUACCGGAUAGGAAUCACAUGUGGGUGUGUGGUUGGAAAGCUUUUGCGGUAUGGGAUGAGCUCGCGGCCUAUCAGCUUGUUGGUGGGGUAAUGGCCUACCAAGGCGUCGACGGGUAGCCGGCCUGAGAGGGUGUACGGCCACAUUGGGACUGAGAUAAGGCCCAGACGCCUACGGGAGGCAGCGGUGGGGAAUAUUGCACAAUGGGCGCAAGCCUGAUGCAGCGACGCCGCGUGGGGGAUGACGGCCUUCGGGUUGUAAACGCCUUUCGUCAGGGACGAAGCGAAAGUGACGGUACCUGGAUGAGAAGCACCGGCUAACUACGUG
Molecule: ribosomal RNA, 466 nt
Filed under: uncultured bacterium
Lineage: Bacteria
Description: partial 16S ribosomal RNA
Rfam family: Bacterial small subunit ribosomal RNA
Source: RNAcentral